Molecule: long non-coding RNA, 575 nt
Organism: Magallana angulata
Lineage: Eukaryota; Metazoa; Mollusca; Bivalvia; Ostreida; Ostreidae
Exons: 3
Source: RefSeq, a predicted model, not a curated record
UUGCAUGGAGAACUAGUGUGGAAAAAUAGUUCGCAUAUCAAACAUAAAAUAAAUUAAAGGAAAUUUGUGGCAUAUCGGUAAAAAUUAUCUUAGGAACUAAAAAUUAACUUGGAAAUUUGUAAACAGUUUUAAAAGUUAUCUUUAAUUUGUAUGCUCCAAAACCCGCGCAGGAAUACACACAGAGAACGUUGGUUUAUUUGUAAACAAAGAAAGGAGAAAGAAAAGAAAGGAAAGACGAGGCAAAAUAUCAAGAUUGAGAACAAAUAUACCAUUUGGGAAGAAGAACACAGCUAACACAAAACAUUGCAGUUAUUAAAAUUCACAUACAACCUAAAUGACAUAAUCAAGUUGAAAUACAUGUAAUACAAACAGUGCAACCUGCUCAAGAAAAAAACCCCUCUUACAACAUAAUAUCUGUAAAAGACCAAAUAAUAAAGUAAAUCAAACCAACAAAGCAAACAAGACUACAAAUCAACAGGAUUGCCAUAGAAGAAAUUGCUGUUGCAAUAUAUGUUACCUUUAACAUACAAAAGUUUAUGAAGCAGAACAACAUAAAUAAAUAUAAAAUCCAUUGA